Eriocheir sinensis (Chinese mitten crab) is the source of this 1767-nucleotide long non-coding RNA. RefSeq lists it as uncharacterized. Lineage: Eukaryota; Metazoa; Arthropoda; Malacostraca; Decapoda; Varunidae. The record is from RefSeq and is a predicted model, not a curated record. The transcript is spliced from 4 exons.
AACAUAAUACAUCCCCCCCUUUCAGACUACAAUUACACUAUGCGGUGCAAUACUUGCGUCACUUUCCCGCCCGAACUUAGCGUCUGUCGUCCCUCCCUUUCCUUCCCUUCCCCCUACCAGCGCACGCACCUCGGAAUUGUUAUCAGCCCUUGCUUGUCAAUCCCCUAUCAGUUAAAGUCAUCCACCCUUACAUAGAUUUUUUCCGCUGCUCCACAUGAAAUUUCGUCACCUUGCACAUGAAGAGACCGUACCCAUAUAUAAACUACCCUAGUUUUCCCUUCAUUUUGAAUUAAAACGUGAUAGAUUAUUAAUCCGCUACUUGGCUUCCUUGUCCGUGCAACGGGGGCGCCGCAGGGCUGGUAUAAAAUGCGGGGAGCGUCGUCUGAGGGGGCAGUGGAACGCCAGCACUCGUCGAGCGAGCAACUCUCCCGGCCUCUGGGCCACCUAUAGACUGCUGAGUUGCUCGCUCGGCUCAGCUACGGGCUGCUACUGGGCGCCUGCUUGGAGGGCCCGUGCCUCCGUCGCUGCUCGCCGGCUUCUACCCGUGGCUGUGGCGGCGGCGGAGGCUUCCCCACACCCGCCGCACGCCAGCGGCGGGUUUCCCCCUGCGACGGGCCGUCAGUCGACAAAGGCCCGUUCCCCCUUUUUAGGGGGUAAAUCCUCAAAGUAAAAGUCUGAGGGCUCAGUGGACCGCCAGCACUCGUCGAGCGAGCAACUCUCCCGGCCUCUGGGCCACCUAUAGACUGCUGAGUUGCUCGCUCGGCUCAGCUACGGGCUGCUCCUGAGCGCCUGCUCGGAGGGCCCGUGCCUCCGUCGCUGCUCGCCGGCUUCUACCCGUGACUGGCGGCGGCGGAGGCUUCCCCACACCCGCCGCACGCCAGCGGCGGGUUCCCCCCUGCGACGGGCCGUCCAUCGACAAAGGCCCGUUCCCCCUUUUUAGGGGGUAAAUCCCUAACGAACGUCUGAGGGCAGUGGAACGCCAGCACUCGUCGAGCGAGAAACUCUCCCGGCCUCUGGGCCACCUAUAGACUGCCGAGUUGCUCGCUCGGCUCAGCCACGGGCUGCUACUGGGCGCCUGCUUGGAGGGCCCGUGCCUCCGUCGCUGCUCGCCGGCUUCUACUCGUGGCUGUGGCGGCGGCGGAGGCUUCCCCACACCCGCCGCACGCCAGCGGCGGGUUCCCCCCUGCGACGGGCCGUCGGUCGACAAAGGCCCGUUCCCCCUUUUUAGGGGGUAAAUCCUUAAAUGCACACAAAAGAACAAGGAGCGUGGUCGAGAGAGGCAUCGGUCAGCUCAAACGCCGAUUUCACGUCCUGCACGGAGAAAUCAGGCUCGAACCCAGAAAAGCUUGCAGAGUCAUUAUGGUGUGUGGCAUACUCCACAACAUUUGCAAGCUACGUAACAUCGAGCUUGACGAAGAGGAUGACAUUGGUGAUGAGCCUGCUGGUGAUGAGGGGUUCCAGCCAGAGGAUGGCAGACCUGCUGCUGUCCAUGAAGGGGGGCUCUUCAGAGAACACAUUGCUCGCCAACAUUUUAGGGUUGCGGCAUAAGCUGUUGCAAUGGCCCCCCUUCAACAGCUCUACAACUACAACUUGUAAAGCACUUUUGGACAAAGUUGGUUCUGCAUGGGAUCUUCAUGCAAGGAUGUAGAAUAAAUUACAUGUUUCAGAACUAUUUUGUUUAUUGUUCUCCCUUAAGUUUCUUGGUCAAUGCGAUUUUAUACAAUGCCUCUGCGUCACAGGCCCUCUUUUGGGCCAUCACAUGUGCAA